GUCAGAACCUACUGGCUUGCAAAAUAUGUCAGUCAUUUUGACAUGUGGGGGGAAUAUCAACUUGACAUUUGGGUCAAUAAUAAUCAAAUGUUAUCAUUAUUAUAGAGGAGGGCCCACACUGUUCCUGUGUCUCCAUCUUCUCCAGUUUGAACUACGUGUCUGUCAGUCCACCCGUUGUACAUCGCUGCGGAAUCUGUUGGCGCUUUCUAAAUAUAAAUAAUAGCGCAUAAUAAUAAUUACCUUUCCAGCAGAAGAGUGUUAAUAAAAGUUACAGUGAAGUAAAUGAAAUCUUGUUAUGGGAAAUGUCCCACAAAUAGGGAAGACCCGGAUUGUAAUAAUAAACCAAUUUAUGUGCAAAACUUCACGACAAAUAUUUAUUUGAAAGCACAUCAGUAAUAGAAUGCUGAAAACACCACCACAAACUAUAUUUUGCUCUUAAUCAUAGCUGUUAUGAAAAAUUAAAUACUGUGCAUUGUACAGUGUUUCUGCAAGUAAAAAUAUUUGAAAUAUUGUAUAAAGCAAAGGUUAAAUACAUUUUAAUAAAUCUAGUUUGGCAAAGUUUAGGAAUUAGGCAUCACACAUUUUUACUAAUAGAAUAAGGCUGAUAGCUUGAUAGUAUGCAGGCUAGAAGUCAGCGUACGAGAAAAGCACUUAAUACAUAAUUGUAAUUAUGAUUAUUAUAUUACUGCCAUCUUUGGGAAGAGCUCACAUUUGUGCUUUUUUGCACUAAAAAUCUGUGCUUAGUACUUUACCACAGGGGUGUUGAUCUGAAGCUACCAAGAGUUUUAUUUGCGGGUAAUGAAUGGUAGCGAAUCGUAAUCCAAAUAUAGAGGACGUUUUGCAGAAUUGUUCAAGCUACUUUUCCUUAAUCUUUGCAGUUGUGUCUCCAGUUCAGUGCAAUUCACUGUUAAAUGAAUAAACACAAAAUAUUUUCUUUGACUACAACUCUACAAGGCUCUACAAGCCUGUAUGUAAAGAGAGGUAUGGGUCUCACAACAGUCCAUCAAUAUGUGGUGUGUGUGUGGACUGUAUAACACGCAUUUGUUAAUUCAGUUUUCACCUGUUGUGAAAGUGUGAGGUAUACAUAAAAUGAAAUAAAGCAAUCCUAACAUCUGAAAUUUCGAAUGUUUUUAUUAUGCUAAUAUAUUAAAAUAAGCAUUUCUGUGUCCAAAUUUCACCUCCAUAGACCUGGUAUGCAAGUCAUUCUUAUAGAUAGCAUUACAAUAUAACUAAUUUAAUGUCAAUUAAUUAAAUAUUCAUAG
Molecule: non-coding RNA, 1262 nt
Organism: Pelobates cultripes (western spadefoot toad)
Lineage: Eukaryota; Metazoa; Chordata; Amphibia; Anura; Pelobatidae
Source: the annotation of a GenBank genome assembly